RNAcentral lists this ribosomal RNA (301 nucleotides) under uncultured bacterium. RNAcentral's name for it is "partial 16S ribosomal RNA". It matches the Rfam family "Bacterial small subunit ribosomal RNA", at positions 509 to 807 of the family's 1533-position model. The record is from RNAcentral.
CAGCAGCCGCGGUAAUACGUAGGGUGCAAGCGUUAAUCGGAAUUACUGGGCGUAAGGCGUGCGCAGGCGGUGUUGUAAGACUGAUGUGAAAUCCCCGGGCUCAACCUGGGAACUGCAUUGGUGACUGCAACGCUGGAGUGCGGCAGAGGGGGAUGGAAUUCCGCGUGUAGCAGUGAAAUGCGUAGAUAUGUGGAGGAACACCGAUGGCGAAGGCAGCCCCCUGGGAUAAUACUGACGCUCAUGCACGAAAGCGUGGGGAGCAAACAGGAUUAGAUACCCCUGUAGUCCCUGUCUCUUAUAC